This 71-nucleotide transfer RNA is filed under the name Melioribacteraceae bacterium. Its description in RNAcentral is "tRNA-Gln". It matches the Rfam family "tRNA". Rfam says of the family: Transfer RNA (tRNA) molecules are approximately 80 nucleotides in length. Their secondary structure includes four short double-helical elements and three loops (D, anti-codon, and T loops). Lineage: Bacteria; Pseudomonadati; Ignavibacteriota; Ignavibacteria; Ignavibacteriales; Melioribacteraceae. The record is from RNAcentral.
AGCCUCAUGGUGUAAUGGUAACACACCUCCCUUUGGAGGAGGUAUUUCAGGUUCGAAUCCUGGUGAGGCUG